UCACUGAAAAGUGUCACUGGAGGAAGAGCUCU
This 32-nucleotide non-coding RNA is filed under the name Homo sapiens (human). Lineage: Eukaryota; Metazoa; Chordata; Mammalia; Primates; Hominidae. The record is from RNAcentral.